This 423-nucleotide ribosomal RNA is filed under the name Dendrophyllia laboreli. RNAcentral describes it as "partial large subunit ribosomal RNA". It matches the Rfam family "Bacterial large subunit ribosomal RNA", at positions 2003 to 2454 of the family's 2925-position model. Lineage: Eukaryota; Metazoa; Cnidaria; Anthozoa; Scleractinia; Dendrophylliidae. The record is from RNAcentral.
CACGAGGGUCUCACUGUCUUAAGGAAAUGUCCAGUGAAAUUGAAUUUGUAGUGAAGAUGCUACAUCCAAAUUGUUAGACAAGAAGUCCCCAUGGAACUUUACUGGAAACUUAUGUGGCUUAAAUUAAUUUAUUUCUUACAAAUAAAUAGUUUUUAAAUGUGGUGUUAACCUCUCGGAUUAACGAGGGUUAGAAAAGCUCACUCUUUUAUUUUAAGAAAGCCAACUCAAAAUUUUUAUGUCUUUGGGAUUUGAUAAGUGGGACAGUUUGGUUGGGGCGACCGCCUUUAAAAAAGUAACGAAGGCGGGCUUAAGAUAUAUUUUUAGUUAUGUCUGACUGCCAAGGGGGAAUCCUGAGCAGGCACUUACUUUUUAGGUGGGUUUAAGUGACCCGUUAAUUUAGGGUGAAAUAGUUAACGAUAAGCA